RNAcentral lists this ribosomal RNA (301 nucleotides) under uncultured bacterium. Its description in RNAcentral is "partial 16S ribosomal RNA". It matches the Rfam family "Bacterial small subunit ribosomal RNA", at positions 510 to 808 of the family's 1533-position model. The record is from RNAcentral.
AGUCGCCACGGGAAUACAGAGGGUGCGAGCGUUAAUCGGAUUUACUGGGCGUAAAGCGUGCGUAGGCGGCUUCUUAAGUCGGAUGUGAAAUCCCUGAGCUUAACUUAGGAAUUGCAUUCGAUACUGGGAAGCUAGAGUAUGGGAGAGGAUGGUAGAAUUCCAGGUGUAGCGGUGAAAUGCGUAGAGAUCUGGAGGAAUACCGAUGGCGAAGGCAGCCAUCUGGCCUAAUACUGACGCUGAGGUACGAAAGCAUGGGGAGCAAACAGGAUUAGAUACCCCGGUAGUCCCUGUCUCUUAUACA